This 587-nucleotide ribosomal RNA is filed under the name uncultured bacterium. RNAcentral describes it as "bacterial SSU rRNA". It matches the Rfam family "Bacterial small subunit ribosomal RNA", at positions 339 to 916 of the family's 1533-position model. The record is from RNAcentral.
CUACGGGAGGCAGCAGUGGGGAAUAUUGCGCAAUGGGCGAAAGCCUGACGCAGCAACGCCGCGUGGGGGAUGAAGGUUCUCGGAUUGUAAACCCCUUUCGAUCGGAACGAAUCUCCUCUUGGUAAAUAAUCAGGAGGAUCGACGGUACCGGGAGAAGAAGCCACGGCUAACUCUGUGCCAGCAGCCGCGGUAAGACAGGGGUGGCGAGCGUUGUUCGGAUUUAUUGGGCGUAAAGCGAACGCAGGUGGUUUGGUAAGUCAGAGGUGAAAGUCCACAGCUUAACUGUGGCACUGCCUUUGAUACUGCCUUUCUAGAGUGCAUGAGGGGGAAGCGGAAUUCCGAGUGUAGAGGUGAAAUUCGUAGAUAUUCGGAGGAACACCGGUGGCGAAGGCGGCUUCCUGGCAUGUAACUGACACUCAUGUUCGAAAGCGUGGGUAGCAAACAGGAUUAGAUACCCUGGUAGUCCACGCCCUAAACGAUGGGCACUAGGUGUGGGAGGUAUCGACCCCUUCCGUGCCGCAGCUAACGCAUUAAGUGCCCCGCCUGGGGAGUACGGCCGCAAGGUUGAAACUCAAAUGAAUUGACGG